RNAcentral lists this unclassified non-coding RNA (302 nucleotides) under fungal sp. RNAcentral's name for it is "partial internal transcribed spacer region". The stretch from base 1 to 46 matches the Rfam family "Eukaryotic small subunit ribosomal RNA", at positions 1786 to 1831 of the family's 1831-position model. Lineage: Eukaryota; Fungi. The record is from RNAcentral.
AAGUCGUAACAAGGUUUCCGUAGGUGAACCUGCGGAAGGAUCAUUCUUGUACUUGGCAUAACUGCCAAACACAACCAACAACUGUGUGAACCAUACCUUUGACUGUUGUCGAAGACCGGAUUUGGUAGAAGGCGGGGCGAAACUUGUUAUUGUCUAGCACGCUAGCACGACGGCAAGUAGUAGCUUGCGCGCUAUCACUGAUUUUCGGCAACAAUAUUUAGUACGUACCUUAUAUGAACUGAAUUUACUAAACACUUUAUAUAUACCAAAUACAACUUUUAGCAACGGAUCUCUAGGCUCUC